AUGUCCCCACAAUGUCUCCUCACUAUCCCCUCCUUGUACCCUCGCUGUCUCCUCACUGUCCUCUCACUAUCCCUUUAUUGUCCCCUCACAGUCCCCUGUUGCCUCACUGUCUCCUUACUGUCCCAACGAUGUCCUGUCAGUCUCCUCAUUGUCCCCUCAUUGUCCCGUUGUUGUCUCCACACUGUUCUCACACUGUCAUCACUGUCUCCUCUCUGUCCCCACACGGUCUCCAUACUGUCUCCUGUCUCCUCACAGUCUCUUCACAGCCCUUUCACAUCCCCUCACUGCCUCCUCACUAUCUCCUCACUAUCCUUCACUGUCUCCUCACAGUGUUCUUACUGUUCCCUGCACUGUCCCCACAAUGUUUCUUCACUAUCCCCUCACUAUCCCCACACUAUCUCAUCACUGUCUACACACAAUACCCACACUGUGCCCUAUCUAUCCGUCAUGGUCCCUCACUGUCGACACAAUUUCCCCACACAGACCCCUCACUGUACCCACACUGUCUCCUUAUUGUCCUCUCACAGUCACUUCACAUCCCCUUCACAUCCCCUCACUGUAGUUGCAAUCCUCUCACUGUCCUUCCACUGUCUCCUCACUGUGCCCACAAUGUCUCUUUACUACACCGUCAUUGUCCCCACACUGCCCCUUACUAUCUUAACACUGUCUCAUCACUGUCCACACACGAUACCCACACUGUGCCCUAUCUAUCCCUCAUGGUCCCUCCUAUCCACACAGUGUCCCCACACAGACUCUUCAGUGUCCCCUACUCUCUCCUCACUGGUCUCUCACUGUCUCCUCACUAUCUCCACAAUGUCACUCACUGUGCCCAUGAAGUCUCAUCACUAUCUCCUCACUAUCUCCUCACUACCCCCACACGGUCCCUUCUCUGUCCCACCCAUGUCCUCUCACUGUCUGCUCCCUCUCCCACACACUGUCCCUUCCAGGAUCCCCUCACAUUACCUAGCCUUGGGGGCAGGAGCUUGGUCAUGGAGGGAGGCGGUCUGUGGAGGUCCAAGCCAAGCUCACACCCUCCCCUCCAUGAUGCAGGUGAAGUGGAUCUUCUCGUCAGUGGUGGAGCUGAAGCGGUCAAUUAUCCCUGACUACAGGAACAUGAUCGGAGAGGGGGCUUAG
RNAcentral lists this long non-coding RNA (1134 nucleotides) under Canis lupus familiaris (dog). Its description in RNAcentral is "lncRNA (ENSCAFG00030003585.1)". Lineage: Eukaryota; Metazoa; Chordata; Mammalia; Carnivora; Canidae. The record is from RNAcentral.